RNAcentral lists this ribosomal RNA (406 nucleotides) under uncultured bacterium. Its description in RNAcentral is "partial 16S ribosomal RNA". It matches the Rfam family "Bacterial small subunit ribosomal RNA", at positions 30 to 526 of the family's 1533-position model. The record is from RNAcentral.
AUUGAACGCUGGCGGCAGGCCUAACACAUGCAAGUCGAACGAGUGGCGGACGGGUGAGUAAUGUCUGGGAACCUGCCUGAUGGAGGGGGAUACCUACUGGAAACGGUAGCUAAUCCCGCCUACCAUCAGAUGUGCCCAGAUGGGAUUAGCAUGUGGGUGGGGUAACGGCUCACCAAGGCGACGAUCCCUAACUGGUCUGAGAGGAUGACCAGCCACACUGGAACGGAGAAACGGUCAAAACUCCAACGGGAGGAAGCAGUGGGGAAUAUUGGACAACGGGCGCAAGCCUGAUGAAGCAAGGCCGCGUGUAUGAAGAAGGCCUUCGGGUUGUAAAGUACUUUCAGCGGGGAGGCGUUACCCGCAGAAGAAGCACCGGCUAACUCCGUGCCAGCAGCCGCGGUAAUUC